CAAGUCGAGCGGAGAGAGGUAGCUUGCUACCGAUCUUAGCGGCGGACGGGUGAGUAAUGCUUAGGAAUCUGCCUAUUAGUGGGGGACAACAUUUCGAAAGGAAUGCUAAUACCGCAUACGUCCUACGGGAGAAAGCAGGGGAUCUUCGGACCUUGCGCUAAUAGAUGAGCCUAAGUCGGAUUAGCUAGUUGGUGGGGUAAAGGCCUACCAAGGCGACGAUCUGUAGCGGGUCUGAGAGGAUGAUCCGCCACACUGGGACUGAGACACGGCCCAGACUCCUACGGGAGGCAGCAGUGGGGAAUAUUGGACAAUGGGCGGAAGCCUGAUCCAGCCAUGCCGCGUGUGUGAAGAAGGCCUUAUGGUUGUAAAGCACUUUAAGCGAGGAGGAGGCUACUUUAGUUAAUACCUAGAGAUAGUGGACGUUACUCGCAGAAUAAGCACCGGCUAACUCUGUGCCAGCAGCCGCGGUAAUACAGAGGGUGCAAGCGUUAAUCGGAUUUACUGGGCGUAAAGCGCGCGUAGGCGGCUAAUUAAGUCAAAUGUGAAAUCCCCGAGCUUAACUUGGGAAUUGCAUUCGAUACUGGUUAGCUAGAGUGUGGGAGAGGAUGGUAGAAUUCCAGGUGUAGCGGUGAAAUGCGUAGAGAUCUGGAGGAAUACCGAUGGCGAAGGCAGCCAUCUGGCCUAACACUGACGCUGAGGUGCGAAAGCAUGGGGAGCAAACAGGAUUAGAUACCCUGGUAGUCCAUGCCGUAAACGAUGUCUACUAGCCGUUGGGGCCUUUGAGGCUUUAGUGGCGCAGCUAACGCGAUAAGUAGACCGCCUGGGGAGUACGGUCGCAAGACUAAAACUCAAA
This 853-nucleotide ribosomal RNA is filed under the name Acinetobacter oleivorans. Its description in RNAcentral is "bacterial SSU rRNA". It matches the Rfam family "Bacterial small subunit ribosomal RNA", at positions 58 to 905 of the family's 1533-position model. The record is from RNAcentral. Lineage: Bacteria; Pseudomonadati; Pseudomonadota; Gammaproteobacteria; Moraxellales; Moraxellaceae.